UCCGGCUUAUCACCGGCAGUCCCCCUAGAGUGCCCAACUAAAUGAUGGCAACUAAGGGCGAGGGUUGCGCUCGUUGCGGGACUUAACCCAACAUCUCACGACACGAGCUGACGACAGCCAUGCAGCACCUGUGUUACGGUUCUCUUUCGAGCACUCCCUGAUCUCUCAAGGAUUCCGUACAUGUCAAGGGUAGGUAAGGUUUUUCGCGUUGCAUCGAAUUAAUCCACAUCAUCCACCGCUUGUGCGGGUCCCCGUCAAUUCCUUUGAGUUUUAAUCUUGCGACCGUACUCCCCAGGCGGAGAGCUUAAUGCGUUAGCUGCGCCACCGAACAGUAUACUGCCCGACGGCUAGCUCUCAUAGUUUACGGCGUGGACUAC
Molecule: unclassified non-coding RNA, 377 nt
Filed under: uncultured Pseudomonadota bacterium
Lineage: Bacteria; Pseudomonadati; Pseudomonadota
Description: uncultured proteobacterium contains 16S-23S intergenic spacer region
Source: RNAcentral